This 253-nucleotide ribosomal RNA is filed under the name uncultured bacterium. RNAcentral's name for it is "partial 16S ribosomal RNA". It matches the Rfam family "Bacterial small subunit ribosomal RNA", at positions 524 to 776 of the family's 1533-position model. The record is from RNAcentral.
UGCGGAGGAUUCAAGCGUUAUCCGGAUUUAUUGGGUUUAUAGGGUGCGUAGGCGGUCGGAUAAGUUAGAGGUGAAAUCCCGGGGCUCAACUUCGGAAUUGCCUCUGAUACUGUUCGGCUAGAGAGUAGUUGCGGUAGGCGGAAUGUAUGGUGUAGCGGUGAAAUGCUUAGAGAUCAUACAGAACACCGAUUGCGAAGGCAGCUUACCAAGCUACUUCUGACGUUGAGGCACGAAAGCGUGGGGAGCAAACAGG